UACGUAGGUGGCAAGCGUUAUCCGGAUUUAUUGGGCGUAAAGCGAGCGCAGGCGGUUGCUUAGGUCUGAUGUGAAAGCCUUCGGCUUAACCGAAGAAGUGCAUCGGAAACCGGGCAACUUGAGUGCAGAAGAGGACAGUGGAACUCCAUGUGUAGCGGUGGAAUGCGUAGAUAUAUGGAAGAACACCAGUGGCGAAGGCGGCUGUCUGGUCUGCAACUGACGCUGAGGCUCGAAAGCAUGGGUAGCGAACA
RNAcentral lists this ribosomal RNA (251 nucleotides) under uncultured bacterium. RNAcentral's name for it is "partial 16S ribosomal RNA". It matches the Rfam family "Bacterial small subunit ribosomal RNA", at positions 524 to 774 of the family's 1533-position model. The record is from RNAcentral.